GGAGGACUGCCUGAACACUCAGGCAGUCUGAUAGACCGCUAUUGCGGCCAUGUGACUGCGACGUACGUCGCAAUCACGUGGCCACGGUGUGCCGAAAUGGAAGCAAGGGACCUGCCAGUCUCCUGAGGAAGUCCCCCCGGACAGGGAUAGUCGGUGCAGGUAAGUCUGUAAGGACAGGGGAAGGUAAUGAUCAUUAGGGCGUACUAUGCCAUCCAAACACUGUUUAGGCUCACUAAAUGUGGGAUGGCAUAGUACUCCCUAACGACGUUAAGAUGUUAAUUUAGGAUUUGCUUUUCCAUGGGGAGGUCUAAU
Non-coding RNA from Pelobates cultripes (western spadefoot toad), 312 nucleotides. The record is from the annotation of a GenBank genome assembly. Lineage: Eukaryota; Metazoa; Chordata; Amphibia; Anura; Pelobatidae.